This 478-nucleotide unclassified non-coding RNA is filed under the name Aspergillus sp. 3 JS-2017. Its description in RNAcentral is "sequence contains ITS1, 5.8S rRNA gene and ITS2". The stretch from base 143 to 296 matches the Rfam family "5.8S ribosomal RNA". Lineage: Eukaryota; Fungi; Ascomycota; Eurotiomycetes; Eurotiales; Aspergillaceae. The record is from RNAcentral.
GUAUACCGUACCCUGUUGCUUCGGCGGGCCCGCCUCACGGCCGCCGGGGGACCUCGCGUCCCCGGGCCCGCGCCCGCCGAAGACCCCAACACGAACACUGUCUGAAAAGUGCAGUCUGAGUCGAUUGUUACCAAUCAGUCAAAACUUUCAACAAUGGAUCUCUUGGUUCCGGCAUCGAUGAAGAACGCAGCGAAAUGCGAUAACUAAUGUGAAUUGCAGAAUUCAGUGAAUCAUCGAGUCUUUGAACGCACAUUGCGCCCCCUGGUAUUCCGGGGGGCAUGCCUGUCCGAGCGUCAUUGCUGCCCUCAAGCACGGCUUGUGUGUUGGGCCCCGUCCCCGGUACCCCCGGGGACGGGCCCGAAAGGCAGCGGCGGCACCGCGUCCGGUCCUCGAGCGUAUGGGGCUUUGUCACCCGCUCUGCAGGCCCGGCCGGCGCCAGCCGACCAACCCAACCAUUUUUUACAGGUGACCUCGGAUC